Molecule: ribosomal RNA, 265 nt
Filed under: uncultured bacterium
Lineage: Bacteria
Description: partial 16S ribosomal RNA
Rfam family: Bacterial small subunit ribosomal RNA
Source: RNAcentral
GUCCACGCCGUAAACGGUGGGCGCUAGUUGUGCGAACCUUCCACGGUUUGUGCGACGCAGCUAACGCAUUAAGCGCCCCGCCUGGGUAGUACGAUCGCAAGAUUAAAAACUCAAAGGAAUUGACGGGGCCCCGCACAAGCAGCGGAGCAUGCGGCUUAAUUCGACGCAACGCGAAGAACCUUACCAAGGCUUGACAUAUACAGGAAUACGGCAGAGAUGUCGUCGCGGUAAAAACGUCUGUAUACAGGUGGUGCAUGGUUGUCGU